This 393-nucleotide ribosomal RNA is filed under the name Thalassiosira rotula. Its description in RNAcentral is "partial Bacterial small subunit ribosomal RNA". It matches the Rfam family "Bacterial small subunit ribosomal RNA", at positions 1107 to 1508 of the family's 1533-position model. Lineage: Eukaryota; Bacillariophyta; Thalassiosirophyceae; Thalassiosirales; Thalassiosiraceae. The record is from RNAcentral.
GUAGUUAGUUACCAGCACGUAAUGGUGGGGACUCUAGCUAGACUGCCUACGCAAGUAGUGAGGAAGGUGGGGACGACGUCAAGUCAUCAUGGCCCUUACGGCCUGGGCUACACACGUGCUACAAUGGUCGGUACAGAGGGUUGCCAAGCCGCGAGGUGGAGCUAAUCCCAGAAAACCGAUCGUAGUCCGGAUCGCAGUCUGCAACUCGACUGCGUGAAGUCGGAAUCGCUAGUAAUCGUGAAUCAGAAUGUCGCGGUGAAUACGUUCCCGGGCCUUGUACACACCGCCCGUCAAGCCAUGGAAGCUGGGGGUGCCUGAAGUCGGUAACCGCAAGGAGCUGCCUAGGGUAAAACUAGUGACUGGGGCUAAGUCGUAACAAGGUAGCCGUACCGG